UUGAUCCUGGCUCAGAAUCAACGCUGGCGGCGUGCCUAACACAUGCAAGUCGAACGAGAAAGUGGAGCAAUCCAUGAGUACAGUGGCGACCGGGUGAGUUACACGUGACUAACCUACCUUCGAGUGGGGGAUAACCUCGGGAAACCGAGUCUAAUACCGCAUAACAUCGAGAGAUCAAAGGAGCAAUUCGCUUGAAGAGUGGGUCGCGGCUGAUUAGCUAGUUGGCGGGGUAAUGGCCCACCAAGGCGAUGAUCGGUAGCCGGCCUGAGAGGGCGCACGGCCACACUGGAACUGAAACAUGGUCCAGACUCCUACGGGAGGCAGCAGUGGGGAAUUUUGCGCAAUGGGGUAAACCCUGACGCAGCAACGCCGCGUGGAGGAUGAAGCCUCUUGGGGUGUUAACUCCUUUCGACCAAGACGAUAAUGACGGUACUGGUGGAAGAAGCACCUGCUAACUCUGUGCCAGCAGCCGCGGUAAUU
This 480-nucleotide ribosomal RNA is filed under the name uncultured Acidobacteriota bacterium. RNAcentral's name for it is "bacterial SSU rRNA". It matches the Rfam family "Bacterial small subunit ribosomal RNA", at positions 13 to 525 of the family's 1533-position model. Lineage: Bacteria; Pseudomonadati; Acidobacteriota. The record is from RNAcentral.